RNAcentral lists this ribosomal RNA (456 nucleotides) under Sphingomonas sp. TB31. Its description in RNAcentral is "bacterial SSU rRNA". It matches the Rfam family "Bacterial small subunit ribosomal RNA", at positions 872 to 1326 of the family's 1533-position model. Lineage: Bacteria; Pseudomonadati; Pseudomonadota; Alphaproteobacteria; Sphingomonadales; Sphingomonadaceae. The record is from RNAcentral.
CCUGGGGAGUACGGUCGCAAGAUUAAAACUCAAAGGAAUUGACGGGGGCCUGCACAAGCGGUGGAGCAUGUGGUUUAAUUCGAAGCAACGCGCAGAACCUUACCAGCGUUUGACAUCCUCAUCGCGGAUUAGAGAGAUCUUUUCCUUCAGUUCGGCUGGAUGAGUGACAGGUGCUGCAUGGCUGUCGUCAGCUCGUCUCGUGAGAUGUUGGGUUAAGUCCCGCAACGAGCGCAACCCUCGUCCUUAGUUGCCAUCAUUUGGUUGGGCACUCUAAGGAAUCUGCCGGUGAUAAUCCGGAGGAAGGUGGGGAUGACGUCAAGUCCUCAUGGCCCUUACACGCUGGGCUACACGCGUGCUACAAUGGCGGUGACAGUGGGCAGCGAGUGCGCGAGCACAAGCUAAUCUCCAAAAGCCGUCUCAGUUCGGAUUGUUCUCUGCAACUCGAGAGCAUGAAGG